GACGAACGCUGGCGGCGUGCCUAAUACAUGCAAGUAGAACGCACAGUUUAUACCGUAGCUUGCUACACCAUAGACUGUGAGUUGCGAACGGGUGAGUAACGCGUAGGUAACCUGCCUGGUAGCGGGGGAUAACUAUUGGAAACGAUAGCUAAUACCGCAUAAUAUUGAUUAUUGCAUGAUAAUUAAUUGAAAGGUGCAAUUGCACCACUACCAGAUGGACCUGCGUUGUAUUAGCUAGUAGGUGAGGUAACGGCUCACCUAGGCGACGAUACAUAGCCGACCUUGUGGGGUGAUCGGCCAAACUGGGACUGAGACACGGCCCAGACUCCUACGGGAGGCAGCAGUAGGGAAUCUUCGGCAAUGGACGAAAGUCUGACCGAGCAACGCCGCGUGAGUGAAGAAGGUUUUCGGAUCGUAAAACUCUGUUGUAAGAGAAGAACGGGUGUGAGAGUGGAAAGUUCACACUGUGACGGUAUCUUACCAGAAAGGGACGGCUAACUACGUG
This 505-nucleotide ribosomal RNA is filed under the name uncultured bacterium. Its description in RNAcentral is "partial 16S ribosomal RNA". It matches the Rfam family "Bacterial small subunit ribosomal RNA", at positions 28 to 507 of the family's 1533-position model. The record is from RNAcentral.